This 63-nucleotide transfer RNA is filed under the name Tenebrionoidea sp. 5 KM-2017. RNAcentral describes it as "tRNA-Glu". The record is from RNAcentral. Lineage: Eukaryota; Metazoa; Arthropoda; Insecta; Coleoptera.
AUUUAUAUAGUUUAAAUAAAACAAUACAUUUUCAUUGUAAAAAUAAAUUCUAUUUUAUAAAUA